RNAcentral lists this ribosomal RNA (779 nucleotides) under Staphylococcus sp. TN-Gafsa-I3-P27f-20091105. Its description in RNAcentral is "bacterial SSU rRNA". It matches the Rfam family "Bacterial small subunit ribosomal RNA", at positions 53 to 817 of the family's 1533-position model. Lineage: Bacteria; Bacillati; Bacillota; Bacilli; Caryophanales; Staphylococcaceae. The record is from RNAcentral.
ACUGCAGUCGAGCGACAGAUAAGGAGCUUGCUCCUUUGACGUUAGCGGCGGACGGGUGAGUAACACGUGGGUAACCUACCUAUAAGACUGGAAUAACUCCGGGAAACCGGGGCUAAUGCCGGAUAACAUUUAGAACCGCAUGGUUCUAAAGUGAAAGAUGGUUUUGCUAUCACUUAUAGAUGGACCCGCGCCGUAUUAGCUAGUUGGUAAGGUAACGGCUUACCAAGGCAACGAUACGUAGCCGACCUGAGAGGGUGAUCGGCCACACUGGAACUGAGACACGGUCCAGACUCCUACGGGAGGCAGCAGUAGGGAAUCUUCCGCAAUGGGCGAAAGCCUGACGGAGCAACGCCGCGUGAGUGAUGAAGGUCUUCGGAUCGUAAAACUCUGUUAUUAGGGAAGAACAAAUGUGUAAGUAACUAUGCACGUCUUGACGGUACCUAAUCAGAAAGCCACGGCUAACUACGUGCCAGCAGCCGCGGUAAUACGUAGGUGGCAAGCGUUAUCCGGAAUUAUUGGGCGUAAAGCGCGCGUAGGCGGUUUCUUAAGUCUGAUGUGAAAGCCCACGGCUCAACCGUGGAGGGUCAUUGGAAACUGGGAAACUUGAGUGCAGAAGAGGAAAGUGGAAUUCCAUGUGUAGCGGUGAAAUGCGCAGAGAUAUGGAGGAACACCAGUGGCGAAGGCGACUUUCUGGUCUGUAACUGACGCUGAUGUGCGAAAGCGUGGGGAUCAAACAGGAUUAGAUACCCUGGUAGUCCACGCCGUAAACGAUGAGUGCU